UAGGACAUGAAAAUAUAUAACCAUCAAACAUAUAACAGUGGGAAUAAGUGAGAAUAUAUGACAAUCGAACACACACACACACAUUUAUAUAUCACAGGUACAUAGCUGAUACAAGGACUAUAAAAUGUAGCAAGUUUCUACAGCAAGUAGUACAUAGGUGAUCAAUUUAACUAGUGAGCACAAACACAUAACAGUACUAGUUUCACAUCGAGCUACAAAUAAGCAAGAACAACAACGUGUCUCUGGACUGAACAUAUCGCAUCAUCACACAAUCAUAGUACACCAAAAUUACUUGAGAAUGUAGAGAAACAGAGUGAAGUAAAGGAACAUCAGCAGUGAGACUCAGAGUUCAGAACAGCAACAAGUUCAGAACAGCAGCAGAUCAUUUUCUUCAGAAAGGAACAGCAGCAAGAAAAGGGGACAGCAGCAGCGUGGGGAUGGAGAGAGGGGUAGCAGCAGUACGGGAUUCAGAGAAGGAGCAGUAGCAGGGGCGUGAGAGGGGAAGCAACAGCGUGGUGAGGGUUCAGAGAUGCACAUCAGCAAGGUUAGGAGAAGGAGCAGUGCAGCGGCAAGGUAAGGAGAAGGAGAAGUGCAGCAACGAGGUAAGGAGAAGGAGAAGUGCAACAACGAGGUAAGGAGAAGGAGAAGAUCAACAACGAGGUAAGGGAAGAGCAGCGAGCAGCAGGGAGGUCGGCGUAGUGGGAGUCGCGCGGGGCAUCAGACACCUCGUCUAGUCAGGCGCGCGAGCGUGGGGUUGAGGCGUGGUGGCGCUGGAGGUUGGAGAUGGAUGGUGCGGGGUGGUUGGAGAUGGUGGCGCUGGUGGAUGCGUUGGUGUAUGGGUGGAUGGAGAUGCAGUGGCGCGCUGCCACGCCGGCCUGACCGCGGCGGCGGCCCGAGAUGGAGAAGGAGGUGUGAGGGAGAGAGAUGUGUGCCAGGCCCUAUCCAAAAUUGAGGCAUGCUAGGGAUUUUGAUCCUCUCCUCAGAUCUCCACUUUUGCACUUCGGCCCUUCUACUUCUCUGCCUACUUCACAAGUUGAUCCCUCCACUCUUUCUUUCUUGCCCUUGAAGCUUUAAUAUUCAUCACACUCAAGUCCCUCUUCCUUCUCUUCUUUUAUAUGCUCAUCUCGAUUGCCACAUGGAUAGAAACUUGUAGUUUAUAGUGCCUUUGCGCACUUUGCUGCAAAAUAGACAAUUCACUAGUCGACAUUCCCUAUUAUGGUUAUCAUUCAAAUAUUCAACAAUUCUUAGCAGGAAUGGAUGGAUAUAUCUCAGUUAAUGGUAUAUUUGAGCAUCAAAUUAUGUAUAUGAAAUAUGCUUAUCAAGUUCCCCCACACUUAAAUCUUUGCUUGUCCUCAAGCAAAGGAAUAUGAAAAGAGCAAGAUUGUGAACAGUGAGCUGACUAGAGAAUGCCAAGUGAAGUAGAUCUCCAAACAAAGCAUGCUUUGAACUUUGCUAGUGAAAAUCAAUGGUUAAGAGUGCUACAAAGCAGUAGGAUACUAGUAAGCAUGGUCAUUUUAAACUUUUACAAUGAUAAAAGAGGAUCAACAAGUUUAAGUGAUGACUGUGCCAAAUGGUUCUUAAAGAGAGCAUGAUCCUGAGAACAAAAUGAACUGGAAUUAAAUCUUGUGAUCAAAUCACUUAUUUACAGAGAUAUAACAUUAUGGUUGAACCACUUAUUGAAUUUGAAAGAAACACACAUAUUAUUUUAUUAUUCUCACUGAAGGAACAUACCACUGAUCCCGAGAACAUGGUAUACACCUGGCUCAACCAAUUAUUAUUAAAAAAAUUGUUUGUCUCCCCAAAGGAACAUACCACCGAUCCAGAGAACAUGGUAUACACCUGGUUCGACAAUUACAUAUUUAUUUAUUAAUUACUACCCAAGCUAACCCGAUUUCACAUGCCACCGAUCCAGGGAACAUGACAUGCCACUGUAGGUAGUCAGACUUAUUAUUCAUUAUAAGAUAUAAUUUUUUUGAACAAAAACAAGAAUCAUCACUCAACCAUGUCUGGUUCACAUGCUACCGAUCCAGGGAGCAUAGCAUGCUAGUCCAUAGUGAUGAAGUGAUUGCUCUAAAUGGGAACACACUUGGCACAAAUACAUCAUCUGAACAUAGUGAUCUAGGUGUAUCAAGGCAAAUGCAGAAAAUGAUUAAGUUUACUAGUGCACUAGGGAUUUGAGCACUCAAAACUAAUAGUUCUCACUAAUUUCAGCAAAGUAAUCAUUGUAUAGAUCACUAGUUUACAAGGCAUUCAGAAAUCAGUUCACAUAUUCACAUCAAGCACCAUAUGUCAAAGAUAAAAUUAAGUGGGACAACAUUUAAGAAAUGGCUCAAGCAACCCAAAUAUCAAAUGAUUUCAGCAUGUAUCAAUGGAUGAUAUAUUAAGAUUGGGGUCAUGAAACAGCUCACCGGGCUUUGAUGUGGCACUCGCUCGACACCCUCUAAACUGCAGCUCUUCUGUUUUUGCUUCUCUAUCCUCAUGUCUGCUCCAUCUUCACUCUUCUUCGCGUGUGCCCAUUGCUUCUCCUCAUCACCAUGCCGUGAAUCCACCAGGAUCCCAUGGGAUGUCAUCUCGAACUUGGUCGGCUCGCAAUGAAUGGUAUACAUGCGUAAACCUGAAAGAAAACUCAACAGACAAGCCAAUACAAGUGAUAGGGACAAUGCCCUCUACGUCAUCAAUAGAGUAUCCUAUCACAUAAGCAUAUCUAUUGAGCAUAUGAUAAAUAGAUAUCAUCAACAAAUCGCAUGGUGCAUAGGCAGUAUCCAUGAUAUGGCAUAUCUUGUUGAGAAAGUUGCGAUCAUACCUGAGAUAGUUAGGAAGAAGCUUCAGGACUACCUCAAUUGAAGAUACCAAGUGAGGUGUGGUAGUAGAAAUUUCCACCGGACUCAUGUCAACAAGUGAAAUAAUAGAGCUUGGAUCCUUGACAUCUGAAUCCACCUCACCAUAAUCAACCAUGAAGCUCCCCAUCUCAGGCUCAAGUGUUGAGGAAUCAAUGCGGCUAACAUCAUCGAAGGCGAACUUUUCCAUAUCUGGCUCUAGCAGCACAUGAUCAAUAUCGACUAAAGAUGUCUCCUCAAUAUCAAAAGUAACUAACUGUAGCUUUGGUUCAUCCACAGAAGAAUCAUCACAAUGCAAAACUGAAUCUCGGAUGCUAGUAUCCAUAUGAUCUGAAAUGUGUGUAUCAACUAGGAUGGUGUCAUCAUCAUCAAAGAUAAUCCAUGAAAGCUCAAUCUUGUCACACGGAGAAACUGGUUCCGGCUUUUGUGUAAGAGAUUCUUGCUGAGAUGAAGUGAUUUGUUGCAAGCAAGCAACUGGGCCAGAGGUGGCCUUCUCAUUGUACCACUGAAGUUGGUGGAAGGCUAUGUUCUCAAUCAGCAAAAAAGCAUCAUCAAGUGUCUUGUUUGUAAUAGCUCCACCCGCUGCCAUAUCGACGUAAGCUCGAGUGUCCAAAGUCAAUCCUCCAUAGAAUAUCUGCAGCUCUAACCACCUCUCGAGCCCAUGAUUAGGACAUCUCCUGAAUAAGGCUUUGUACCUCUCCCAAGCAUCAUACAAACUCUCGCCUUCAUGCUGGACGAAGUUGAAGAUCUCAUCUCGGAUCGCGGACUACUUGUGUAGUGGGAAAUAUUUAUCCAAGAAUGCUUGUGAUAUCUCAUUCCAACUGUAUGAUCUUGAUGGCAAGGAUCGAUACCAAGCACGAGCAUCAUCUCGGAGAGAGAAUGUGAACAGCAUGCACUUGAUAACAUCUUGAGGAACUCCAUGGUACUUUACUGUAUCUGAAUACUCCAUGACUCAGAGCAACUGCUCAUAAGGGUCUUUAGUAGGCAAUCCUCCAAACUGAUGUUGUUGAACCAAAGCAAUAAUACCAGGCUUUAGCUCAAAAUUUUCCACCUCAAAAGAUGGCCAAAGUGGCCCUGUGAAAUAGCAUUGGUUACUUGGCAUCCAAACAUCAUGAAGCAUCGCCAUAUCUCAACCAAGUGUAAUUAUCAAUCAGCCUGUAAAUAGUUCAGAUUUCCUACGCACGCUCAUAAAUAGUAAACACUAGUCAAAAGGUUAGUAUCCUAAUAAGCCGAGGCAACAAUGGGAAAAGUACAAAAGAAACACUAAAAAUGAAAUACACGACGAAUUAAACAAGGAACUAAAGUAAACCUAGUCUAUAUCCUAACAUAAUCGCUCGACGCUGGUCCCCGGCAACGGCGCCAAAAUGAUCGAUUGUAUGUACAGUGGGGUUUUCAUGCCCAAACUGCGGAUGUCAUGUUCUCCACAGGGACUAGGCGAUCAACGGCUACGCUCGGCUAAAGCUAGGUAACAUGAUAUUGCGUGACGAAGACAGGAAAUAAACCUAAAUCUAACAAGGAUCAUCAACAAAGGAAAUGACAAAGAAGCAAAGAGAGGUUCAGAUUAUCUUCAACAAUCUUUUUGGUAUUUUCGUAAUGCUUGGUAAAUUAAAACACUAACAUAGACAAACAUCAAUGACAAAAGGGAAUCAACAGGACAUGAAAAUAUAUAACCAUCAAACAUAUAACAGUGGGAAGAAGUGAGAAUAUAUGACAAUCGAACACACACACACACACAUUUAUAUAUCACAGGUACAUAACCGAUACAAGGACUAUAAAAUGUAGCAAGUUUCUACAGUAAGUAGUACAUAGGUGAUCAAUUUAACUAUUGAGCACAAACACAUAACAGUACUAGUUUCACAUCGAGCUACAAAUAAGCACAAACAACAAGGUGUCUCUCGACUGAACAUAUCGCAUCAUCACACAAUCAUAGUACACCAAAAUUACUUGAGAAUGUGGAGAAAUAGAGUGAAGGAAAGGAACAGCAGCAGUGAGAGUCCAGAGUUCAGAACACCAGCAUGUCGUUUUCUUCAUAAAGGAACAACAUCAAGAAAAGGUGACAUCAGCAGCGUGGGGAUGGAGAGAGGAGCAGCAGCAGUACGGGAUUCAGAGAAGGAGCAGUAGCAGGGGCGUGAGAGGGGAAGCAACAGCGUGGUGACGGUUCAGAGAUGCACAACAGCAAGGUUAGGAGAAGGAGAAGUGCAGCGGCAAGGUAAGGAGAAGGAGAAGUGCAGCAACGAGGUAAGGAG
Molecule: long non-coding RNA, 5083 nt
Filed under: Triticum aestivum (bread wheat)
Lineage: Eukaryota; Viridiplantae; Streptophyta; Magnoliopsida; Poales; Poaceae
Description: long non-coding RNA (TAES_LNC010087)
Rfam family: Plant small nucleolar RNA R71 (bases 3494-3597)
Source: RNAcentral